GGACAAGCCGGCAGCCGGAAGAGGAGCAGAGGCUCUUUCCAGCAGCAACGGCAGCCCAUGCAAAGGCCCUGUGGCAGGCCGGAGGGAGCCGGGGAGCGGGAAGACCCAGAGGGCGCCUGGGAAGCAUCUUGGAAUUCUGAACACAGCAGCUGUUGCCCUCCCGGCCACACUCUGUCCUCCAGAUGUCGGCAGAAGGGAAAAAGACCACGGACUUCUAUAACAGACUUUUUUUUUUUUUUUUUUUUGAGACAUAGUUUCGCUCUGUAUCACAGGCUGGAGUGUAGUGGCGUGAUCUCGGCUCACUGCAAACUCCGCCUCCUGGUGUCAGUUCAAGCGAUUCUCCUGCCUCAGCCUCCCGUGUAGCUGGGAUUACAGGCAUGUAAUUACCAUGCCCAGCUAAUUUUCAUAUUUUUAGAAGAGACGGGGUUUUGCCAUGUUGGCCAGGCUGGUCUUGAACUCCUGACCUCGUGAUCCGCCUGCCUCAGACUCUGAAAGUAUGGGGAUUACAGGCGUAAGUCACCGCGCCCGGCCCACAGAUUUUUUUUAAAGAAAGUGUCUGUAAUCUGAGAAAGCGUGCAGUCGCCAGGCAUCCCACGGACAAUUUGCAGACCAGUUGGAGCCUCUCCAGCACCCGGGCGGGCAUUUUCCAGCUCAAGGUCUGGGACGGAGGCUGCCUCCCACCGCUUUCCGUUCACUCCAGCCCAUCGGAUGGCGUGCCCACCUUGUCCUUGGGGGCUCUGUGUCCCCUGGGCUGCUGCCCACUGACUUGCACGCUCCACGUCCGGCGGGACAGGUGCCCGCACGCCUGGAACAUGGAUGCUCCCUGCUCUGAACAUCCAUCUGCCGGAAGAUGAGGCAGCUGAGGCCGCGUUCACGCAGCCGGAGCGGGGACCACCUCAACGCGACGUGAGGGCCUCCACCGAGAAAGGACAUAAACGGCAGACGGUCCAGUGAGACGAGACGGGAAAUCGUCCUGAGAGCGGUGAUGCCGUGAUGCGCGCCCUUCGCUGAGCGUCAGAGAGAAGCCCAGGACGGUUGGAAACCGGCAUUGAGAUGGUUUAAUUCAACUCCAGAACGUUCAGAUGUAUUGUUUCUAAUCCUCCAGGUCUCUGGAAAAUUUGCUUCUGGUUUUCGCUGUUUCCUUUUUUCUUUUUUUGGCCGGGGUUGUUUUUAAGGGCAAUGCUUUUCUUUGACAAAGAGCUGCGGGGAGAGAGUACAAGUGACCUCCUAGCUCAGCCAUCAUGUGGCGGAACCCAAGAAGGUGGGGUGGGCUUCUCGGGGUCUCCCACGGAUUUCAGCAUCCCCCACGCUGCCCAGGGGAAGGAGGACGUCGGCAGUGGGGCCCGGCAUGGCAGCGAUGGGACAGGCACGCCCUGACUGGUCCUCAGCUCCCUGUAGCAGUGGGGCCCGUGGCUGGUCUGCCAGAAUCUGGACCAAGGGCUGGUGGACAGAGUCCUCUCCUGGCAAAGCCUGGAGAGCCAGCCGUGGCGGUCACUGCCUGGUGUCCAGUGAGACCCCUUCUCCCAGCCAGCUCUGGGUUCUGCUGCUACGUGUGGCCUGUGAGCCGGGGACCCAGGUCACCGCCACCAAGGAGGCUGCCCACGCGGCCAGGAAGCCAGGCCCCGGGAAUAUGCAGACAAGAGGGGCGUCCCUGCCUAGACUGGCCCCUGCAGGGAUCGGCCUCCAGGGCAGGCAACAGGGCCUCUCACUGACACAGGCUCGGGCCCUGCCUGGCCAGAAUGCUUCUUCCCUGGGAGCAGCCUCGGUGGGGCCCCAUUGAGCCGCAGACUCAAGGGCAGGACGGAGCCCGGUAGGUCGCCCCGAAGCAUGGCGGGCUCUCACCUUUGUCCUGCCAUGGAGUCAGAGACACGAGACCCUGGAGUGGGGAGCAGGUGAGUGUCCUUUGCUCCUGCCUAGCAUCCAGUAGGUGCCAAUAAAUACCUGCUGACUGGGUGGCUGAAGGGACUGCGCUGGCAUCCCAAGGAAUUUUGGGAUCCACCACCCUCGAGACCGUGCUGGGCGGGAAGCAUGACCCCACACUGUGGGAUGGGGAGCCUGGUGGCUGCCGGCUGGCGCGCACCCCAAGCCCUUUCCUGGGCUCAGCUGUGAGCUCAGGACGGUUUAGACGCAGCAGCAAUGAUUUUAAGAGUUGCCGUGUUAAACGGUGAUAGCCUGUGACGGUGCUGUGUGCGGAAACAUCCGAUUUUAUUGCCGCUGGGUGGACAGCGCCGUCUAGACGCCGCUCACCCUUCUCACCUUCGCAGUUGUCUGUGUGGAAGACGGGAGAGGCAGGGGCACCACGCCACUGUCCCCAAGACCGGCCCCCAGGCACUGCGCGGAAGAGGCCGUGGCCUGUGAGGUGGCCCUUCCCUGCCCUGGACAGGCUGUGGAGGGGCUGCAGGCGGAGGCUGGGCUUGGGAGUGCUUGAAGGAUCACUGGGCUGUGGAGGGGCCCGCAGGCCGCCUGGGGACCUGGGGAGGGAAGCUCCGGGCCUUUCUCUGGCUCUGCAGACGCACGGCCUGGGUUCAAAUGCCAGCUCCACCACUUCCUGGCUGUGUGGCCUUGGACAUGUGUCUUACCCUCUCUGAGCCUUAAAUUUCCUUCUCUGGAAAAUCAAUGCUUCAUCAAAUAAAAAGUGAUCAUGAACAGGCAGUUCCUCAAAUGAUUAAAUAUGGAAUUACCAUGCAACCUGGCAAUUUCUGUUCCGGGUGUGCCCAAGAGGAAUGAAAAUGUGUGUCCACACAGAACUGUGGACUCGGGUGUCCACAGCAGCAUCGUUCACAAAAGCCAAAGGUGUAGACAUCCCAAGUAUCCCACAGAUAAGCAGAUAAAAUGUGGCCUCUUCAUAUGGUGGAAUAUUAUUCAGCCAUGAAAAGGAAUGACACAGCCGGGCGCGGUGGCUCACACCUGUAAUCCCAGCACUUUGGGAGGCUGAGGCAGGCAGAUCAGGAGGUUGGGAGUUUGAGACCGGCCUGAUCAACAUGAUCAACACGGAGAAACUCUGUCUCUACUAAAAAUACAAAAAUUAGCCGGGCAUGGUGGUGGGCGCCUGUAGUCCCAGCUACUCAGAAGGUUGAGGCAGGAGAAUCGCUUGAACCCGGGAGGUGGGGCUUGCAGUGAGUAGAGAUCACGCCGUUGCGCUCCAGCCUGGGCAACAGAGCAACAUUCUGUCUCAAAAAAAAUGACAUUCUGACACACGUGGAUGAACAUUGAAGACAUCACACCAAGUGAAAUAAGCCAGACACAAAAUGACAAACAUCAUAGGAUCAUUAGAUGAGAUUUUCAGCACAGGUGUUGACCCUGGAUAAAUGGAAGCAUGUGUCACACGCUGUUCCCUACGUCAGUGCUCGUGGCAGCUUGACUUACAGUAGCCCCGAGCUGGAAACGGCCCACGUGUUCACCGACAGGAGAACAGCUAAACCACCGCGGACGUUCAGACCAUGAGACAUGACUCAACCGCACCAGGGAUGAGUGAGCUGCGGACGCGGAAGUGCGGUGAAUGUCAAGGCCAUUGUGCCGGGUGGGAGAAGCCAGAGGAAAACAGCGCAUGCGGCUGAUCCCGCUCACACGCCAUCCUGGGGCCUCGGAUUCACCCACCGUGAUGGA
This 3606-nucleotide long non-coding RNA is filed under the name Homo sapiens (human). RNAcentral's name for it is "HSALNT0383993". Lineage: Eukaryota; Metazoa; Chordata; Mammalia; Primates; Hominidae. The record is from RNAcentral.